UACGUAGGGGGCAAGCGUUGUCCGGAAUUACUGGGCGUAAAGCGCACGUAGGCGGAUAUUUAAGUCAGGGGUGAAAUCCCAGAGCUCAACUCUGGAACUGCCUUUGAUACUGGGUAUCUUGAGUAUGGAAGAGGUAAGUGGAAUUCCGAGUGUAGAGGUGAAAUUCGUAGAUAUUCGGAGGAACACCAGUGGCGAAGGCGGCUUACUGGUCCAUUACUGACGCUGAGGUGCGAAAGCGUGGGGAGCAAACAGG
RNAcentral lists this ribosomal RNA (253 nucleotides) under uncultured bacterium. RNAcentral's name for it is "partial 16S ribosomal RNA". It matches the Rfam family "Bacterial small subunit ribosomal RNA", at positions 524 to 776 of the family's 1533-position model. The record is from RNAcentral.